UACGUAGGGUGCGAGCGUUAAUCGGAAUUACUGGGCGUAAAGCGUGCGCAGGCGGCGCGUUAAGACAGGUGUGAAAGCCCCGAGCUUAACUUGGGAAUUGCGCUUGUGACUGGCGUGCUGGAGUGUGGCAGAGGGAGGUGGAAUUCCACGUGUAGCAGUGAAAUGCGUAGAGAUGUGGAGGAACACCGAUGGCGAAGGCAGCCCCCUGGGCCAGCACUGACGCUCAUGCACGAAAGCGUGGGGAGCAAACAGG
Molecule: ribosomal RNA, 253 nt
Filed under: uncultured bacterium
Lineage: Bacteria
Description: partial 16S ribosomal RNA
Rfam family: Bacterial small subunit ribosomal RNA
Source: RNAcentral